RNAcentral lists this ribosomal RNA (109 nucleotides) under Corynebacterium callunae. RNAcentral describes it as "23S ribosomal RNA". The record is from RNAcentral. Lineage: Bacteria; Bacillati; Actinomycetota; Actinomycetes; Mycobacteriales; Corynebacteriaceae.
CGACCAUGGUGAAUCAGUGAUACUAACCACCCGAAUGCCUCCAUGUGUCAUCUUUGAUGAUGUGUGGUUGUGGUUUGCGUGGGACCUGAUCUGGUAGUAGCUAAGUGAU